This 404-nucleotide ribosomal RNA is filed under the name uncultured Candidatus Solibacter sp. RNAcentral's name for it is "bacterial SSU rRNA". It matches the Rfam family "Bacterial small subunit ribosomal RNA", at positions 355 to 776 of the family's 1533-position model. The record is from RNAcentral. Lineage: Bacteria; Pseudomonadati; Acidobacteriota; Terriglobia; Bryobacterales; Solibacteraceae.
UGGGGAAUCUUGCACAAUGGGGGAAACCCUGAUGCAGCGACGCCGCGUGAGCGAUGAAGCCCUUCGGGGUGUAAAGCUCUUUCGGCAGGGACGAUGAUGACGGUACCUGAAGAAGAAGCUGCGGCUAACUACGUGCCAGCAGCCGCGGUAAUACGUAGGCAGCGAGCGUUGUUCGGAGUUACUGGGCGUAAAGCGUGCGUAGGCGGUGUCCUAAGUCUGGUGUGAAAUCUCCCGGCUCAACUGGGAGGGUGCGCUAGAAACUGGGGUGCUGGAGUGUGGGAGAGGUAAGCGGAAUUCCUGGUGUAGCGGUGAAAUGCGUAGAUAUCAGGAGGAACACCUGCGGUGUAGACGGCUUACUGGACCAUGACUGACGCUGAGGCACGAAAGCGUGGGGAGCAAACAGG